Hibiscus syriacus is the source of this 142-nucleotide long non-coding RNA. RefSeq lists it as uncharacterized. The record is from RefSeq and is a predicted model, not a curated record. The transcript has 3 exons. NCBI's taxonomy places the organism in Eukaryota, Viridiplantae, Streptophyta, Magnoliopsida, Malvales, Malvaceae.
AAGUUCUUCAAGAUAAACAGAAAGAAAAAGGACUAAAAUCAGACUUCUACAAGUAAACCAAGUUUUGAACAUCAGUUCUGUAACUUUAUAUGCAGAUUGACAUUCAAACCUCAAUAUUUACUUUGAGCAGCAAGCAUAUACC